CAAACGGCUCUUUUCAGAGCCACCUCCUUCUCUCCCCAAAGGGACU
Molecule: non-coding RNA, 46 nt
Organism: Chaetura pelagica (chimney swift)
Lineage: Eukaryota; Metazoa; Chordata; Aves; Apodiformes; Apodidae
Source: Rfam